GAUGAACGCUGGCGGCGUGCCUAAUACAUGCAAGUAGAACGCUGAAGGAAGGAGCUUGCUCUUUCCGGAUGAGUUGCGAACGGGUGAGUAACGCGUAGGUAACCUGCCUGGUAGCGGGGGAUAACUAUUGGAAACGAUAUCUAAUACCGCAUAACAGUAGAUGUUGCAUGAUAUCUACUUAAAAGGUGCAAUUGCACCACUACCAGAUGGACCUGCGUUGUAUUAGCUAGUUGGUGAGGUAACGGCUCACCAAGGCGAAGAUACAUAGCCGACCUGAGAGGGUGAUCCACCAACAUGGGAACGGAGAACCGCUCCGAACUCGUAGGGAGGGAGCAGGAGGGGAGCAUCGGAAAUGGACGGAAGUCCGAACGAGGACAGGCGCGGGAGUGAAGAAGGUUCUCCGAUCGUAAAGCUCUGUUGUGUGAGAAGAAAGAGCGUGAGAGUGGAAAGUUCAUGCUGUGACGGUACCUUAAGAGAAAGCACCGGCUAACUACGUG
RNAcentral lists this ribosomal RNA (497 nucleotides) under uncultured bacterium. RNAcentral's name for it is "partial 16S ribosomal RNA". It matches the Rfam family "Bacterial small subunit ribosomal RNA", at positions 28 to 507 of the family's 1533-position model. The record is from RNAcentral.